RNAcentral lists this ribosomal RNA (443 nucleotides) under uncultured bacterium. RNAcentral's name for it is "partial 16S ribosomal RNA". It matches the Rfam family "Bacterial small subunit ribosomal RNA", at positions 338 to 795 of the family's 1533-position model. The record is from RNAcentral.
CCUACGGGUGGCAGCAGUGGGGAAUAUUGGGCAAUGGGCGCAAGCCUGACCCAGCAACGCCGCGUGAAGGAAGAAGGCUUUCGGGUUGUAAACUUCUUUUCUCAGGGACGAAGCAAGUGACGGUACCUGAGGAAUCAGCCACGGCUAACUACGUGCCAGCAGCCGCGGUAAUACGUAGGUGGCAAGCGUUAUCCGGAUUUACUGGGUGUAAAGGGCGUGUUGGCGGGACUGUAAGUCAGAUGUGAAAACCACGGGCUUAACCUUUGGCCUGCAUUUGAAACUGUAGUUCUUGAGUACUGGAGAGGCAGACGGAAUGCCUAGUGUAGCGGUGAAAUGCGUAGAUAUUGGGGGGAACACCAGUGGCGAAGGCGGUCUGCUGGACAGCAACUGACGCUGAGGCGCGAAAGCGUGGGGAGCAAACAGGAGUAGAGACCCCUGUAGUC